Molecule: transfer RNA, 67 nt
Filed under: Phyllonorycter platani
Lineage: Eukaryota; Metazoa; Arthropoda; Insecta; Lepidoptera; Gracillariidae
Description: tRNA-His
Source: RNAcentral
AUUUAAAUAAUUUAAUAAAAAUAUUGAUUUGUGGAAUCAAAAAUGUAAAUAAAUUUUACUUUAAAUU